CUCUAAUCCGGAAAGCUAAAGCCACAGUGAUAAGACAUUUAAGCUAUUAAUGAAAUCCAACACGUAGCCAUUUUCUUUUUAGGUAAAUUCUGCAUCAGUGCCAAAAAACAAUGACAAUGUCUGCCGAAUUUGAGGACGGAUGGUGGGGAUCACUCCCUGAUGUAUGUCUCCGGCACGUGUUCAGACAUCUAUGUGAUUGUGACCGCAGGAGUGCAGCACUUGUCUGCCAUCUCUGGCCAAAUGCCAUGCGCUCACCCUGUCUGUGGUGCCACAGGUUUUUCUAUUUCAGUGGGUGGUUAUCUCUUUUGAGGCAGGUACAAUAUCAGUCUGCUCUGAGCUAUGCCCACUGCUUGGGAGUCUACCUACAGAGUCUCGAGAUUUAUGUGCAUCCCCCUCACAAGUUCAUGGAAGCCCAACAUCUGAACAGAACCAUCAGUGGGCUGUUUGCUGAGCUUACCACGUAAAAGCUCAUCUAAACCAGAUCUUGUUUUACACAGCACAACACUCCAGUUAAUUAUCCUUCAGACUGUAGCGGUCAACUGUCUCUGCAAAUUUAACAUUAUUUGGUCUCCACAGAGUCAGGGCUCCACUGCGGUCCCUCUCCCUUGUAGAGCUGGACUUGGAUCAGUGCACCUGGAGGUUUGAGCCCAGGAACUCUUUAAUAAAUAACUUGAUACACUUCCUCCACAGAUGGGCAUGAAAGCUCACAUCUGUUUGACCAGGAUGUGAAACAGCAUGCAUCAGACUUGGAGGGUUUAUUUUCUGGUGCUACACACGCCCAUCUCCACCCCAGGCUGCCCCUCAUCCUCUGUCAGCUUCGAGGCCUCCCCAACCUGAGCCUGAGUUACUUCUGUCUCUCAGAUCAGCUGCUCAUGGCUCUCCAGCACAGAUACCAAGGAGUGAGGAAACACUCCACAAGAGAUGAGAGCUCCUUGCAAACAUUUUCACUGCACUGCACUGCAGAGCCCCAUCUACAGGUGGUGAGUGGUGGCUCAUGGGCAGCUUAGGCAUCCAGCUGCCCAAACCUGACAGUCACACUUACAGCACAGCACUGACCAGCUCGCAAGGAUACUGCUGCCUGAGAUUCCCCUGACAACAUACACCAUGAUCACUUUCCGUGAAGAAGAAUGAAAUGCCAGGCCUCUUUUGAAUAAUAUGCUGCCUCAGUGCAAACACAGUCUGCAGGGUGCUUUGCCUGAUCCAGAUGACCCUCGAAUCUCGUUAGAGAUGUACAAUCUUGCCAUCUGUCUCAUUCAGAGCUUUGACGAGAUGGAGGGCAAUGAUUCCAGUAAAGUUGAGGAAGACAGUAGCCUGCCUUUGUCAGAGAAAGGCAGUGUGCUGGUUUUCCUUCCUGGUUUGCAUGAAAUAAGUUACAUGCAGGAGGCUCUGACCAAGCUGGUUCACAAAAGGUGAGGAUUUGCUUUUCUUUGUAUGGUUAAUACUGUAUAUCUGUGAAGCUAAAAACAGUUGUCUUCUGUACAGUGGAACAGAGACCCUUAUACCCUCAGUGCUCUGUCUCUUCUUUAGACUUGGAGGGUUUCUUUUCUGGUGCUACACACGCCCAUCUCCACCCUAGGCUGCCCCUCAUCUUCUGUCAGCUUCGAGGCCUCCCCAACCUGAGCUUGAGUUACUUCUGUUUCUCAGAUCAGCUGCUCAUGGCUCUCCAGCAUAGAUGCCAAAGAAGGAGGAAACACUCCACAAGAGAUGAGAGAGCCCCUUGCAAACAUUUUCACUGCACUGCAGAGCCCCAUCUACAGUACCUGUCCCUGGACCUGAGGAACUGCAGUGAACCACUGGAUGAGGAUCUGCUGGUGCUGGUCAGGUUGUGCAAGUGCCUGGAGGCUCUUUGUCCACGUGCUCUUGGAAGUCAGGACUGUGAGAAGGCUGCUGCACAUCAGACUGACACAAAGACACUUGCUCAACAAGAUCAAAGUGAGAAUCUACUCAGAAGACCCUAUAGAGCAGGAAGACCAGCUGGAGGAAAUGUUGUCCCACUACCCACAUGGCCCCUCCUGAACUGGAAUUUUCAGUCAGAGUCUUCCACCACUUAUAAUCGCUGAACACACACAUGAGUGUUUGUAGACAAGCUGAUUAGCAAAGGGGACAAAACACAAAAAAAAAUAAAAUGAUUGAUGCAUGAAAUUCAUCUGUUCUGGUGGCUGACUGGUUCUCUAUGGGGUGGGGGCAGUGGGUGUGUAUGGAAACAUUGACCUAGUUUCAUUGUUAAGGGUGAUGGGGAAGGCUGUGUGUGUGUGUGUGUGCACGCACUCUGGCAUGACAAGGCACUAUUUAAAAGAACAGGGAUCAAGAGGCAACAGCAAGAUACCAGUCUUGAUUACAUGACUCAUGAUACACUACUAAGAGAGUAAAGUCUAUGCUUUUAUUCUCAUUAAUUUGAUUUCUUCUAAUUAUUUUCUGAAAGCUGUGUAAAUGUGUAUAAAUAUUUGUAUUAUCUCAAUAUCCCUUUUAUUACAAUCACUUCAAAAAGUAUUCACAUCACUUCACUUUUUACAAUCUGUGUUGUAGAGUUCAUUUUAAACUGAUAUAAUUGCCAUUUUUGCACAUCAAUCUAGAUUUAACAACCCAUUUACAUGUACAAAU
Molecule: long non-coding RNA, 2601 nt
Organism: Monopterus albus (swamp eel)
Lineage: Eukaryota; Metazoa; Chordata; Actinopteri; Synbranchiformes; Synbranchidae
Exons: 7
Source: RefSeq, a predicted model, not a curated record